UACAUGUAUACACCAAUCAAUGAGGUCUCCGCUAUAAGCUUCCUUCUCAAUUUUCUUGAUCGUCUGCUCUAAGCUCCUCCGUCUCAUACCGUCGCCAGCGGCUCUGAUCGGAUGCCUUCGUAUCAGCGAAGUUCCGGCGAGAUUCACGUCCUCGUCGGAUGGCUUCGCGAUCAGUCUAGUUCUUGUUAGAUUGGAUUUAAUUUCUUCCUCUCCUCCUCUUUUCAAAACAAUUCUGACUUAAUUCUAUUAUUUGGUGAAUCUUUGGCAUUUUUUUUUUUUAAUUUUUCAACCUGGUUUAAUUAACGUAUAAGUCCGUAUCUGUAUUUUUAAGUCUCGGCUGAUGUUAUCCGUAAUUUGAUUGUGGAAUUUAGUAUCAGUAUUUUCCUAAGAUUUGUGUUUGAUAGCUGGCGUUAAGAAUUUGAAGUUUUCAGACGUGAAAUUUGCGUUUUGACCAACCACGCAAAUGUAGAAAUGUUGAAAUGAUAAGAGUCAAUCAAGGACUAAUAAUGCAGUUUGACUCAGUGGUGAUGGCGCGAAAUCCGUGGCGAUCCAUUUCAGAAUGUUUUGUCAUUUACUCGAACACUUGAAUGCAAGGAUUAUGCAGUGAUAUUUCAUGGUUAAAUUGUUUUGAUUUGUAUGACUCUAAUGUCUUGUUGCUAUUUGGACGGUUGCUGGCAUUGGUAACUAUAGUAUAGUAGAAUUUAGCUCAUCAUUGAAAUUGUGGGGUACCGAAAAAAUACUGCAAUGGAAAUAAUUAAUGGAUUUGUUAUCUUGUAAUUGAUUCUAUUGAGUUCUACUGAUUGAUAGCAUGGUUGCUAGUAAUAGAUAGCUGUCCCGCACAUUUGAAAAAAAAAUCACAUCAUACUAAUGAAAGUACCAGUUGAUUGUGUGCUUACUGGAAAAUUUCACAAUUCAAUGGUAUAACUGGAGUUUUGAGUAUUAUAAUGGAGAUGCUAAAAAUCUAAGUUUAAACCUACAAAAUCCUCCUAGAAUCAGAGAGGUGUAGUGCCUUUAGACUGUUGCAUACCUUAUGAUCAAAAGCAUCCUUAGUUUUGAAAAUCAUGUUCAUUAGCUCUAAGGUGCUAUCCAAGAAUUUUAAUUGUUGGCAAUUGCUUUUAACAAGAAAUAUACUUCUUAUAAUGAUCAACAUUUCAGUAUUUUAAAUUUGGAGUUUGCAUUGUUUAUUCCAUUCCAUUUAAAGUGCUACACACGUUGGCAGCUGGACAUGAUUUGCAUUUUACGAAGCCCAACUCUUUUAUGAUCUUUAUGAUUUUGGCUGCAAGGCUGUUGAUUGCGACAGAAACUUUAGCCUUUGCUGGCUUGGAUGGGAUUAUUUGGCAUGCUAUCUACCAAUCAGUACUACUGUUAAUGUAUCUUUUGCAAUUUUAUGAGUGGCCUGUUUUUACCUGUUGUUAUCUUUCACUUUGCUUAUUUUUGUCUUUCUCUCAUUUCUUAGUCUGGUUUUUGUUUUCCUGGUGUUCUUAUUUAAAAUUGUUGCCAUAUCUCUACAAUGUACUUGUGAAAAUCAAAGCUUUUAUUUACAGGGGGAGGUUUGGUUUGGUGCUUGACAUAGUUUGCCUUGCUGAUUGCAUAACCAAUUUGACAGCUGAUAUCACCUUGUAAAAGAUUAACGAGACUAAGACAGAACUAAUUGGUGGUUCCAAUGUCUAUAUGCCUGUCCAUAAAGAUGGCUGUUAUCAGGAGGAAGCGUUGUUUAGCCCCUUUUUUCAACAAGUCCCAUUUACACUGUACCCUUCCCCAUGUAUACAAAAAUGUCAGCUAAUUUUUUUCACGGUAUCUCCAUAUUAGGCACUUAUACUUUCCAAUUAUGUCCUGAAAAAGGUAAAGAACAGUAGAGGAUUGUGCAGCUGAUCAGUGUUGGCAUAGAAAAUAAAUUGUUAAUUGGAAGAUCAUGUACAUAUGUUUUUCUAUCACACAUGAGAUUUUCAGUUGGUCAUACAUACUAAUAUUAAAAGGAAUCAGGGAUGAAUCUUCAUGGGUGUUGGAUAAAAAAUUGGGUGAUCGAAAUUAUAGAUGCUCCCAGUAGUCAAUGAUAUACACUAGUAUUUUACUGCUUUAUAAUGACAAGAGUUAAAACUGCUAUACUCAGAUUUUCUAGAUAUGGAUGGAUGGAUUUUAUGUAGUGCUGUGGAAUAAGUAUUUUAAAUGUGGUAGGUGUUUUUUUCACAAGUAGAAAAGUGAUGCUUUCACUCUUUUCUCUGUAAUGUGCUUUAUAUUGUAAGCAUCUUUUUGGCCCACUUUUCUCAGCAUUGUAGUGUUACUGCCUUUUGCAUUGACCAAAUCACAGUGCCUAUAUGUGCUGACUCCGCUCUCUUCUUCGUGGUGGGGGUUUCUUUUGGAUCCACUAGGAUCUGAAUCUAUAUCAAAUGGCUGGGAUGUAAUUACAAUGUGGUGGGCUUCCAUUUAAUCUAGGCUGGAAACCUGUUAGUGUUCUUUUGAAGAUUUUGAAAAGAUAUGUUCUGCAGUUGAAGGCUUCUCUUCAAGGACAUAAGCUCUUGUUCAAGAUUCUGGAUUCUGAAGCUUGUGGAUUCAUAUUCCUUCCUUGAGAACUCAGGCCUCUGGAUUCCUGUAUCUUUCUGUAGCAAGAAGCUCAGUGGUCUACUGACUUCUACACCAUCUGUGUAUGGACUCUCACCGAGGUUCUGGCUUUUGGAGUUUGCAUAUCUUGAGCUCGAGAGGCUGCCAGAGAAAUCUCCACAAUGUGCAUACCUAAAUGAAUCUGAACACUCUUUGAAGGCUUGGUGUGUGUUUAGUUGCUGAACAAAAAGUGCCUGGACAAUCAGACGUAGUGGCAUCAACUCAUUCUGGACUGCUUCAAUGCAAACUUCUUGUGACAACCUCUGGCAAUUGAGGUCAGGUAGGUCAUCAGGUUGAUGAUUGAUACUAAAAGUUCAAAAUCUUUGAUGUUAAACUGACUCACCUUGAACUGCAUUGCAUCAGGCUAUAGGAGGUGUACUAAAAGUAUCUGAAAGUUUACCUGUAGGAAGGCAUUCAAUGCUCUAUACAAAUGAUCAUGGUUCUGUCUGGUUGAUGCUGGAACAAUUUCAAUAAGAUCCAUGAAUGUUUUAGGUCCAAUUUUUGGGUCAGGAGCCAUAUUUGAGAGAUAUAAAUCCCACAACUCUGCAACAAUAGAAUUGCUCGGGGAAGGACUGCGAUCUGACUCCAUGUUGGAUGACACAUAUGUUGAGAAGAUACUUUGCAUUAUGUCCAAUUCUAUGCUGGAGGAAAUGGAGAGAAAAUCUUCCACCUGUGCCAAGUGCAAAACAGAUGCAAUCUGAUCUUUCAACUUUGCAGUACUCUUACUUCCUAGACCAUGUUCAAGAGACCUAGAGAGCAAUGAGAAAUAAAAGCCAACAGGAAUCACUUUACUGGCUUUAUUUCCCAUUGGUAGCAAAUCAAGAAUGCCAUCUAAGAUAACUGAAACUUUGUUCUUGGUGUCAUUUCUCUCACCGGAUUGCUCCCAGAACUGGCGUGUCUUCUUCGAGAGUACCCAUUUGUUCGUGUAGAAAACAAUAAUGGGGCUCACAUAUUUUUCUUUCAUUCCUUGUCUUCUCAAGGAACCAAUUAUCCUCUUGAAGAAGACAAAUGGCAGGGCAAUGAGAUCCUUGAUCCACAGAUUCUGGUUCAGUAUUUCCUUCAGUGCUUCACUGCGCCAUGCUUGACUGGCCAAAGCCUCCAGUGUAACUACUGGCUUGUCCCUUCUCCUCUCCGGGUCAAGAAUUUCCAUACAAGCCAUGAAAGCAAGAGAUUCAAUGCAUCGGGUCACAAUUAGUAGCUCUUCUGCCCAGGGAAGCAAUGUUUGGCACUUUUGGAGAACAAUCAAGGUGUCAUCCCAACUCUGCAACACCACUUGGUUCAAGUAAAUAUCAAACCUCUCACAAAGGUUGCCAGAGCUCUGCUCUUCUGUCAUUUCAAGGAACUCCGCCGCACAUCGCAGGGCUGCUACAUUGAAGGGGUCAACUAAUGUGGAGGAACCAUAAAUGAAAAGUGCAAUCAUCUCAAAGGUCUCUGCUCCUCCUGGGAAAUUUUGAGGUAACUCAGCCUCAUUGGACUCGCUCAAUUUUCGCUUCAAGUAUCCACUCUUGGAAAACAGUGGGUACUGCAAAACAGUAAAGAAAUACUCUAGAAGAUUAAAGGUUACCUUGUGCAUCCAUUCAGAUGAGGCACAUUCUGGGUGUAACUAAACAAAUAUGCUAUACAGUCUGUUUGCUCAAAAUGGAAAACAAGUACACAAGCAAAUUGCAGAUUAAAGGUUCUAUCAACAACUUGAAUGCGAACCGAAACUGGCAAACCAGUCUCUUGACUCCUGAGACAAAUAAAUUGUGUUCCAUAGGUUAGAUACACGGGGAUCUGGGAUUCGAGAAAAGAAAUAAAGAGAUAUGGUUUGAAACACAAAUGAAAUCCAUCAUUCAAUCAUCUUACCAUGAAAUUAUCUUAAUCUUCAGCAGGGCACUAACAUUUGGUGAGGAGAAGGGACUAGAGAGCACUGGGCUGUUUUUGAGGCUGGCAGUGUCCAUUACCAAGGCUCAUGAAGAAGACUGGAUCCAGAGAAAGUGAAACAAUUAAUGGAGAUCACAGCUGAACUUAUACUGGAGAAUAAAUAGCUUCUAGAACCCAGAAAACCGGUGGAAAUUCAUGGGAAUGGAAGUGAAAAAAGAGGUGGCUUGACAACUUUGCUCACACACGUGCAAUCUCUUUGAUUUUCUAUGUUUUAGUCAAAGAAGUAUGAACUCCUGUGAACUCAAAGUCCAAAUUUUAAGGCUUCAAAACCGUUCUUGAGGGCCGUGAAUUUGAAAUCCUGUGCCAUUUCUUGCUAUCAAACUGAAGAAGCUGGUGGAAUAUUUUCCACUUUAUGCAAUUUCUGUGUACUUCCUUGAGUGUACAAUACCAAAUUCAGAUGGUUCGAGUGAUCCAUUCCUGACCAUGGGGUUAAUUAAACAUCCCUCUAGAUGUGUUAUUAUUUACA
This is a long non-coding RNA of Diospyros lotus (date-plum), 4987 nucleotides long. RefSeq lists it as uncharacterized. Lineage: Eukaryota; Viridiplantae; Streptophyta; Magnoliopsida; Ericales; Ebenaceae. The record is from RefSeq and is a predicted model, not a curated record. The transcript has 7 exons.